Molecule: long non-coding RNA, 5119 nt
Organism: Oncorhynchus gorbuscha (pink salmon)
Lineage: Eukaryota; Metazoa; Chordata; Actinopteri; Salmoniformes; Salmonidae
Exons: 10
Source: RefSeq, a predicted model, not a curated record
UGUAUCAGCUACAGGUGUAACUUACCUGCUGUGUUCGACAUUGGAUACAAUAUAGGACUCAAACUUGUUAUAACUUUCUACAACUGUAAGAUGGCAGCUCCGAAGAGCAGGAGGAAACUGCAUCCUCAGAUUUUGAAAGCACAUCUGACCAAACACAACGGAAGUUUGCUGCUCCCUUCAGAAGCCAUUACAGAAGAUCGUGACAGCGAUUUCUUCAAGAAAAUGGCUUCCAAACAUUCUCUCCGAGAAAAGGAUUUCUCCUGUCGCGUGUGCAUUAAUCUUCCGGGAUACUCUAAUCCUGUCAUGUAGCCACAGCUUUUGUAAAGUCUGUCUCAGUGAAAUCUGGAAACAAAAGGAUUCUCUGGAAUGUCCAAUUUGCAGCAGAAUAUCCUCAAAGGAAGAACCUCCUCGUAACCUAAUUGUAAAGGAACUGUGUGAGGCCUUCUUAGAGAAGAAUCGGAGAGAUUCAGCAGGGCCUGAGGGGCUCUGCUUUCUGCACCACGAUAAACUCAAACUCUUCUGUCUGAAUGAUAAACAGCCAGUGUGUUGUGUGUGUCAUACUUCUAAAAAUAAACAUGCAAACCACAAUUUCUGUCCCAUGGAUGAAGCUGCACAGGAUUUGAAGGAGGAACUCAAGACUUUAUUGAAGCCCUUACAGAAGAAGUUUGAGAUUUUCCAUAAAGUGAAACUAGCCUGCCAUCAAACAGUAACCCAUAUUAAAGCUACAAGCAGAGGACACAGAAAGGCAGAUUAAAGGGGAGUUUGAGAAGAUACACCAGUUGCUUCGAGAGGACGAGGAGGCCAGGUUAGCUACUCUGAAGGAAGAAGAGGAGCAGAAGAGUGACUUGAUGAAGAAGAUUGAUGAGAUGAUCGGAGGGUUAUCAUCACUUUCAGACACAAUCAAAGCAAUAGAGGAGCUGAAGGCAGAAGAUAUCUCAUUCCUUCAGAGCCCAGUGCACACUGCCGGAUCCAGAGAGGGUUUCAGGAGCACGGAUCCAUGUGGCCAAGCACCUUGACAACCUGCACAGAUUUUGUGGGAAGAUGCAGGACAUUGUUGAAGUGUUUGCUCACUAUACUACCGUGACUCUGGAUCCCAAGACUGCCCACCCAUCUCUCAUCUUGUCUGAUGAUCUGACCACUGUGAGACUUGGUGAUGGGACGCAGAAGCAUCCUGACAACCCAGAGAGGUUUUAUAACAAUAGACUGGUCCUGGGCUCUGACGGCUUUAACUCAGGGACACACAUCUGGGAUGUUGAGGUUGGGAACAGUGUAGACUGGACCCUGGGUGUGGUUACAGAGACUGUCCGGAGGAAGGGAGGAAUACGCAGUGGACUCUGGGGUCUAAAUUAUAAAUCAGGUGAAUACAGGGCAUAUUCCCUACCAAAUUCAAUCAUUCCCUUCAAGUUGGGCCAGAGACCCCAGAGGAUCCAGUGCAGCUGGACUGGGACAGAGGAAAGCUGUCAUUCUAUGACCCUUUAACACCUACACACAUUCACACACACUUUCACUCAGAGAGUUUUUCCCUGCCUUGGUAAUCAAUGUAAACACUAGCCUCUAAAGACCUUGCCAUGGCCUCUGUAACAGUGGAACAACAUAGUUAGAGCUGAUAGGCCUCUUGUCUAGGAACAGCACAGAUAGAGCUGAUAAGGAAGUUAUAAUGUCUCAUAUCACAACUUUAAAGGUGAAAUAUGUAACCUAUUGGGCGACCUGACCAACUUCACAUAGAAUGGUAAGUGUUAGAUCUGCAAUUCUCAUUGAAGGAAAGUCUAAGAAGCGGAAGAGCUGUUCUUUGUGCGCUACUUCUAUGCUUCCUGUUCCUAAGUUUAGUUUUUGUAUCUUUUACUUGUACACCAACUUCAAACAGCUGAAAACACAAUAUUUUUGGUUAUGAAAAGAUAUUUCACAGCGGUUGAGAUGGUACAAUUGUUCUCUACACUGUACAUUGCUUGUUUUGUCACAUAAACUGAAAUUAGGCGAAAUAUUUCGAAUUUUGGCAACUAGGAAAUGGGAGAACGAUUUCUGCACUUUGCGCCUUUAAAUCGAGCGCCUACUGAUAUUAUAAAGAAUUGACUGAUUUGAACUUGAUGCUUAAACUGUUGAUAAAGCACAAGACUAAAACUGACACCUAGUCCAAAUGUAGUCGAGUAUAAUCACGUUUCUUAUUUGUAUUAUAUAAGAUUGAUUUGUUAAUGAUUUGCUCUUAUUGCCUUUAAGUAUAUGACCAAUUGCAUGGAAACACAAAGCCACACUGUAACUGUCAUUCCCUAUUACAGGAUUCAACCAAAUACAUUCUAUUGUUUUGUUUUGUUUGGUCUAUGAGAGUGGAAUAAACACAGUUAAAGUUGAUGCUGUUUUACCGGAACGUUUCAUUCACCCACUAGCCUAACCCACUUCCACGAUUCCAUCUUCUCAAAACUAGUAUAGCAUACUUAUCGACACAAAGUUUCUUCAGAAAUAUGUGCUUUUCCAGUUUAGACCGGUGGUGGUAGGAAAGUCUACAGCUUGCAGAGGGAGAUAGAGAGUCACUGGCCAGGGUCAGGCAAGGGUCACCAAUAACUCUCAGUUAGAGAGGAAUAUUCAGUAAAUAAAGAAUAUUUGGCUCAACCUAACUGUGCUGAAUUCAAGGAUGUUGCAUUGGAAUGUCCCAACGUUUAUUUCCACCUCUGAUGUGUUUGUGAUAAGUCAUCAAGGCAUAAAAUACUAAACAAUACAUGGGACUGGCUUUGUAGAACUGUGAAUUCUGUCCUGGGUAAAGGCUCUCACACUGUAGAAUUCAGCUUGUAUCAGCUGCAGGUGUAAUUCACCUGCGGUGUUCGACAUUGUAUACGAUAUAGGAAUCAAAGUUAUUCUAACUUUUGUGUUAUGACUACAAGAUAGCAACUCCCAAGAGAAAGAUAAAACUGCACCAAUAUGAGAUUUGAAAGCACACCUGGCUAAACAAGACUGAAGUAUACUGCUCCCUUCAGACACAGUCAGAGCCGUAGAGGAGCUGAAAGCAGAAGGGAUCCCAUUCUUGCAGAACUACAAGACCUACUGUAGAAAAGGCCCAUGGACCUGACACGUGACCACCUGUUCACCUUCACUGUCAGUCAUCCUACCUGUCCAGCUACCCACACAGAUUCCACUAAUCUUUCACCUACAGCGAAAGCAAGAGUCCAGUGCACAUUGCCGGAUCCAGAGAGAGUUUCAGGAGCACUGAUCCAUGUGGCCAAGCACCUUGACAACCUGAUUCUGUGGGAAAAGUGUGUGUUUUCUCAAUACACUGUGAUGUUGAAUCAACGUGGAAAACUGAUUGGAUUUGCAAAAAGUCAUACAUUGAUUUUUACCCACACACCGCUACUGUUCUGGACUCCAAGACUGGCCACCCAUCUCUACAUUUGUCUUAGGAUUUGACCAGUGUGAGACUUGGGCAUGGGACAUAUCAGCUUCUUGACAAUGCAGAAUGGUUCUGGGCACUGAGGGCUUUAACUCCGGGACAAACAACUGAGAUGUUGAGGUUGGGGACAGUAUAUACUGGUUCCUGUGUGUGAUCACAGAGUCUGCCCCGAGGAAAGGAGUCAUACCCAGUAGAUUCGUGUUUUAUAUUACAAUGGAGCUUUUUCUGACUACUCAGAGGAAUCCCCACCAAAGCCAGACAGACACCACAGAGGAUCAGAGAGCAGCUGGACAUGGACAGAAGAAAGACCCUAUUAAAAACGCACAUUCACAGAAACUUUAACCCGAGACCGUCUUUCCCUGCUUUUCUCAUGUCUGUGAAUGCCAGCCUCUAAAGAUCUUGCCAUGGCCUCUAUAAAAUAACAGCACAAAGAGCGGAUAAUGUCUCUUACUAUUUUUAUUCAUUUGAACUUCAUGCUAAAAUGUCUUCCGCCUAUCAAUGGAACAGCAGUAUAUGGUAAUGUCUUACCAAAGCACCACAUCAACCUACAAUCCUAACCCACUAUGACAACCCCAUUAUUUAAUGUUCUCUCAAUAGUGAAACAGAACUGUUGCAAGCAUGAGAUGUUUCUUCAGAAGUGCUGUGUUGUAGGUACAUUAUGUAGAUGGAGCCUGUAGAGGGAGAUGGAGUCGCAGGCCAGGGGGCAGAGCCAAUAGCCCAGCAGUAAUCAAUGCUUAACCCACUUAUGGUUUUCUAUCAUGUGGUCAAUAUAUACAUUCUCCAAGUUGAAGAAUCUCAACAAUGUUAAGGAUUCGAUGCAAACAAUUGCACAAGACAAUAAGGGUCUGUCUUUCUAGAAUGAAAAUGGAUAUUACAUUUACUAAUUGUAUCAUAUUACUAAUGGUUGAAAAAGUACUUAUUUGUCAUACUUGAGUAAAAGUAAAGAUAACUUGGUAGAAAUUUACUCAAGUAAAAGUGAGUCACCCAGUAAAAUCCUAAUUGAGUCAAAGUAUUUUGUUUUAAAUAUACUUAAGCAUCAAAAGUAAGUGUAAUAGCUCAAAUAUACUUAAGUAUCAAAAGAAAAACUAUAAAUCAUUUCAUAUUCCUUAUAUUAAACAAGCCAGACGGAACCAUUUUCUGGUCUUUUUUUUAAAUGUAUGGAUAGCCAGGGGUACACUCCAACACUCAGACAUCAUUUACAAACAAUGCAUGUGUGUUUAGUGAGUCCGCCAGAUCAGAGGCAGUAGGAAUGACAGGGGAUGUUCUCUUGAAUUGGACAAUUUUCCAUUCCUGCAAAGCAUUCAAAAUGUAACAAGUACUUUUGGGUGUCAGGUAAUAUGUAUGGAGUAAAAAGUACAUUAUUUUCUUUAGUAAUGAAGUAAAAGUCGAAGUUUUCCUAAAUAUAGAUAGUAAAGUACAGAUACCUGAAAAAACUACAUAAGAAGUAUUUUUACUUAAGUACUUUACACCACUGCAUAUUACAAAUCAUUAUUAAUUCAACAGCUAAAUGUAAAAUAAAUCUAAUGAUAUUGCCAGAGUGAGGUGAAAAAAAAAUAAGUUAUGACAGUUUAUGACAAAAUAGAUGUCUCUUUGGUUUCACUCUAAAUUCAAGUUCAAGUCCAAUGUAAGGAGUUAACGAGAAACUUAAUAGGCUACAGAUACAUCCUUCCUAUCUCCAUCUGCGGUUGAAGUUUCUUCACUCCCAAGUUCACUUAACACAUGUAACACAAUAAAGGAGGUAUU